This is a long non-coding RNA of Sinocyclocheilus grahami, 1627 nucleotides long. RefSeq lists it as uncharacterized. The transcript has 3 exons. The record is from RefSeq and is a predicted model, not a curated record. NCBI's taxonomy places the organism in Eukaryota, Metazoa, Chordata, Actinopteri, Cypriniformes, Cyprinidae.
ACCCACUUUUAUACAGCUUUACACGCAGUGCUAAAACCAGGAGUUUCAUUAACAUUCAACAAGUGUGAUCCUGCCCUGCUGCCAGAACCCAACCACGUGAUGCUCAAUCAUCUGUACGCACUCUCGAUAAAGGAUGGUGUGAUGGUUCUCAGUGCAACUCAUCGCUAUAAGAAGAAAUAUGUGACGUCUCUUCUGUACAAGCCAAUUUAAAAUGCUGUGGAUGACACGUGAUCUACAGUCCUCAUCCACUAUAGUCCAGAUUGCACUAUAAACCCGCGAUGCAUACAGUGGAUCUGUCCGCUUCAGCAGUAGUGUGUGUGUGCGUGAGUGUGUGUGUGUGUGUGUGUCCUGUCAUCACACAUGCAAUACAUGGACAUCUAAACUUCCUGUUUGCCGUCUUGGAUGCAGCAUUUUACAGUCUUGAAGGCAAGAAUUAAUCUGUCCAAAGCUCUUUAUAAAACGCUGUCAAACAGGAUUCAUAUAUUUGAAAACUGCAGACAGAAGAUCUUCAUAAAUACAAGUGAGGUCAAGUUUUGAAUUUCAACACAGAUGAACAUUUGAAUGUAACAAUUAAUUCUAAGCUUUUAUAGCUUAUGGUCUCAUAAUUCAUUUUGUAAACUGAGGGAAAGACACAUGUUUAUUUGUCUGUUUUCAGAACAAAAGGAAGUUUCAGCCGAACACAGUGGCGUUUAGUGUUUGCGCUCCUAACAGAGCCAUUCGCUUCAAUACUUUCAUGUCGGCACUGAUAGAUGUGCUUUGAGCAGAGUUGUAUGAUUUCAACAAAAGGAAGCUGUAAAGGAGGACUGAACAGAUUAAAACAUUUCCAACAGCAUCACAGAAUGGCGCAAAUAGAUUUUGAACCGUGAGUUUUACUGCAUGUGGUUUGAAUUUCACCAUCAUGCUGUCAGACGAGCACUUUAGCCGUGUUUCACUGUGACAGACAGACAGGUUUUAUUUAUUUUAUCAAGCAGGAAUGUAUUUUUGCAUCUGUUAGAAAUAUAAAUUUUAUGCCAGACGUAUGUGGACACCUGAGCCUAACUGGCCUGUUCCAGUGGUGUUCAGGUCUGGUCUUUCUGGUGUUGAAGAACUAGAGUCAGUGAACCCUCCACAAGCUCCUGCAACAAAGUUGGAAGCACAGAAAUCUCGAGAUUGGUAUUGCGUGUAUCACGAAUAUUCAUUUUGCACUAGAAUUACUGGAAUAGACAGACUUGUUAACUAAGAAUGGGGCAUCCACAUAUGUGUGGCCAUAAUGUGUAUAAUGUUUGUCUGCGUUAAAUAUUGUAGUGUGAAAUGCUUGGUUUUGUUUGCUUUAUCAUUUCUGGCCAUCAAUAUUAAAUGUUGAAUCAGGAAUUUUUUAACAUUGAGGAUGAUAUAAAUUAUGUUCAUGAGGUUUUAUUUGUUUGCUGUGAGUUGAAUUGUGUGGCGUUGAAGGUUUAUUCACUCCAAAGAUAAUCAUAUGGUGCAAGUGUGAAAGGAAAGACUGAAAAUAGGAAUUUCAUUAGAUAAUGGCAACACCACAGCUUUAUGGAUAUUAUUUUGAGGGAAAGUCCAACUUGAAAUGUUUUUCUUUUUAUCAUAUAUACUGAUAAAUUAUUUGUUGAGCUAUGCAUUAUAAAUGUAUGUUUUG